Molecule: ribosomal RNA, 669 nt
Filed under: Pichia nakasei
Lineage: Eukaryota; Fungi; Ascomycota; Pichiomycetes; Pichiales; Pichiaceae
Description: LSU rRNA
Rfam family: Eukaryotic large subunit ribosomal RNA
Source: RNAcentral
GGGAUUGCCUCAGUAGCGGCGAGUGAAGCGGCAAGAGCUCAGAUUUGAAAUCUCACCUAGUGUGCGAGUUGUAAAUUGCAGGUUGGAGUCUCGGUUUAGACGUGUGUGCAAGUCCCUUGGAACAGGGCGCCACUGAGGGUGAGAGCCCCGUAGUGUGCACGUCGAUAGCUGUGAGGCCCUUCUGACGAGUCGAGUUGUUUGGGAAUGCAGCUCUAAGUGGGUGGUAAAUUCCAUCUAAGGCUAAAUAUUGGCGAGAGACCGAUAGCGAACAAGUACUGUGAAGGAAAGAUGAAAAGCACUUUGAAAAGAGAGUGAAACAGCACGUGAAAUUGUUGAAAGGGAAGGGUAUUGGGCUCGACAUGGGAUUUACGCAUCGUUGCCUCUCGUGGGCGGCGCUCUGGGUUUUUCCUGGGCCAGCAUCGGUUUUCGUUGCAGGAUAAGGACCUUUGGAAUGUGGCUCCUCGGAGUGUUAUAGCCAUUGGUAGAUGCUGCAUAUGGGGACCGAGGGCUGCGGCGGACUUGUUUCGUCUCGGAUGCUGGCACAACGGCGCAAUACCGCCCGUCUUGAAACAUGGACCAAGGAGUCUAACGUCUAUGCGAGUGUUUGGGUGUAAAACCCGUACGCGUAAUGAAAGUGAACGUAGGUCGGACCGCUCUCUCGGGGGGGGG